AGUCUUUUAGUUUAAUAUAAAAUUUUAAAUUGCAAGUUUAACGAUACUGGUUAGGUCAAGACUU
This 64-nucleotide transfer RNA is filed under the name Hylica paradoxa. RNAcentral describes it as "tRNA-Cys". The record is from RNAcentral. Lineage: Eukaryota; Metazoa; Arthropoda; Insecta; Hemiptera; Cicadellidae.